RNAcentral lists this ribosomal RNA (496 nucleotides) under uncultured bacterium. Its description in RNAcentral is "partial 16S ribosomal RNA". It matches the Rfam family "Bacterial small subunit ribosomal RNA", at positions 29 to 507 of the family's 1533-position model. The record is from RNAcentral.
AUGCACGCUGGCGGCGUGCCUAAUACAUGCAAGUCGAGCGAACAGACGAGGAGCUUGCUCCUCUGACGUUAGCGGCGGACGGGUGAGUAACACGUGGAUAACCUACCUAUAAGACUGGGAUAACUUCGGGAAACCGGAGCUAAUACCGGAUAAUAUAUUGAACCGCAUGGUUCAAUAGUGAAAGACGGUUUUGCUGUCACUUAUAGAUGGAUCCGCGCCGCAUUAGCUAGUUGGUAAGGUAACGGCUUACCAAGGCGACGAUGCGUAGCCGACCUGAGAGGGUGAUCGGCCACACUGGAACUGAGACACGGUCCAGACUCCUACGGGAGGCAGCAGUAGGGAAUCUUCUGCAAUGGGCGAAAGCCUGACGGAGCAACGCCGCGUGAGUGAUGAAGGUCUUCGGAUCGUAAAACUCUGUUAUUAGGGAAGAACAAAUGUGUAAGCAACUAUGCACGUCUUGACGGUACCUAAUCAGAAAGCCACGGCUAACUACGUG